AGCAGUGUGGUGUAGUGGUUGCAAGUUGGGCUCGUGAUCGAAAGGCUGCCGGUUCGAUUCCCUGUUGGGGCACUGCCA
Molecule: non-coding RNA, 78 nt
Organism: Megalops atlanticus (tarpon)
Lineage: Eukaryota; Metazoa; Chordata; Actinopteri; Elopiformes; Megalopidae
Source: the annotation of a GenBank genome assembly